UACAGAGGUGGCAAGCGUUGUUCGGAAUUACUGGGCGUAAAGGGCGCGUAGGCGGCCUUCUAAGUCAGACGUGAAAUCCCCAGGCUUAACUUGGGAACUGCGUCUGAUACUGAGAAUCUUGAGUAUGGGAGAGGUGAGUGGAACUGCGAGUGUAGAGGUGAAAUUCGUAGAUAUUCGCAAGAACACCAGUGGCGAAGGCGGCUCACUGGCCCAUAACUGACGCUGAGGCACGAAAGCGUGGGGAGCAAACAGG
This 253-nucleotide ribosomal RNA is filed under the name uncultured bacterium. RNAcentral describes it as "partial 16S ribosomal RNA". It matches the Rfam family "Bacterial small subunit ribosomal RNA", at positions 524 to 776 of the family's 1533-position model. The record is from RNAcentral.